UGUGUGUGUGUGUGUGUGUGUGCGCGCAUAUAUAUAUAUAUAUAUAUAUAUGUGCGCACACACACACACACACACACA
Pelobates cultripes (western spadefoot toad) is the source of this 78-nucleotide non-coding RNA. The record is from the annotation of a GenBank genome assembly. NCBI's taxonomy places the organism in Eukaryota, Metazoa, Chordata, Amphibia, Anura, Pelobatidae.